RNAcentral lists this ribosomal RNA (520 nucleotides) under uncultured bacterium. Its description in RNAcentral is "bacterial SSU rRNA". It matches the Rfam family "Bacterial small subunit ribosomal RNA", at positions 8 to 523 of the family's 1533-position model. The record is from RNAcentral.
AGAGUUUGAUCCUGGCUCAGAUUGAACGCUGGCGGAAUGCUUUACACAUGCAAGUCGAGCGGCAGCGCGGGGGCAACCCUGGCGGCGAGCGGCGAACGGGUGAGUAACAUAUCGGAACGUACCCAGUUGUGGGGGAUAGCCCGGCGAAAGCCGGAUUAAUACCGCAUACGACCUGAGGGUGAAAGGGGGGGAUCGCAAGACCUCUCGCAGUUGGAGCGGCCGAUGGCGGAUUAGCUAGUUGGUAGGGUAAAGGCCUACCAAGGCGACGAUCCGUAGCUGGUCUGAGAGGACGACCAGCCACACUGGAACUGAGACACGGUCCUGACUCCUACGGGAGGCAGCAGUGGGGAAUUUUGGACAAUGGGGGCAACCCUGAUCCAGCCAUUCCGCGUGAGUGAAGAAGGCCUUCGGGUUGUAAAGCUCUUUCGGCAGGAACGAAACGGUGGUCCCUAAUACGGAUUGCUAAUGACGGUACCUGAAGAAGAAGCACCGGCUAACUACGUGCCAGCAGCCGCGGUAA